Long non-coding RNA from Macadamia integrifolia, 722 nucleotides. RefSeq lists it as uncharacterized. Lineage: Eukaryota; Viridiplantae; Streptophyta; Magnoliopsida; Proteales; Proteaceae. The record is from RefSeq and is a predicted model, not a curated record. The transcript has 2 exons.
UGUCUUUUUGAAAAAAUAUUGGGGUAGUGCUGACAUUCAAAUUGUUGCAAUCUAGCAUUCAUGGUAGAAAUGUGAAGAGUGAAGACAGACCAGAAAACUGGUACAUUGAAUUACCUCUUUUGGGUAGGUUAAAAAAGUUGCAGUUCUGAUUAUAUCGCAGAAAAGUUUGUGCUUUUUCUUGAGAUAUACCCACAUAUCCCUUAACAGACUUUUCUUCCAUUCCGAGUGGAGGGUAAAUCAUGAAGCUCCUUAUGCCACGAACUUUCAUGGCCAUAGCUCUUAGAUCGUUCCGCAGAGCUUCUUUCUGCAGUUCUACUUUGAAAUGGGAAGGUGGGGUUUCAACGGUGCAGGGAGCUUCGAGAGGAAUUGGGCUUGAAUUUGUGCUUGUUGAUAUUCUCAGGUGUCUUGGAUUUCUUCUGUAUGGAAUGCCUACAUUAUAGAUAGCCCUGUUAUUUUUUUAUUAGCACUUUGGUUCUUUUUCAUGUAUUUCAUUCUUUACAUCAGAUUUACCGCAUUUGAUGCAUACCAUGUUUUUAAGUUUGGUUGACUAAACAUUUUAUAUUCAGGUAUCCACGCUUCUAAAAUUUCUUUCUUCUGUACACUACCGAAGGCAAUGUUUCAUUUUUCUAUUUUGUACAUAUUGUAGGCUUUCACUUGUAUCAUUAAUUUCAUUAUACUCUGUUUCCAACGCAAAUUCUGAAUCAAAUGAAUACUUUCUUCUA